This 839-nucleotide ribosomal RNA is filed under the name uncultured archaeon. RNAcentral describes it as "bacterial SSU rRNA". It matches the Rfam family "Archaeal small subunit ribosomal RNA", at positions 21 to 859 of the family's 1478-position model. The record is from RNAcentral.
AGGUUACUGCUAUCGGUGUUCGCUUAAGCCAUGCGAGUCAUAUGUUCUUCGUGAACAUGGCGUACUGCUCAGUAACACGUGGAUAACCUGCCCUUGGGUCCGGCGUAACCCCGGGAAACUGGGGAUAAUUCCGGAUAACGCACAUAUGCUGGAAUGCUUUAUGCGUCAAAUGGAUUCGUCCGCCCAAGGAUGGGUCUGCGGCCUAUCAGGUAGUAGUGGGUGUAAUGUACCUACUAGCCUACGACGGGUACGGGUUGUGAGAGCAAGAGCCCGGAGAUGGAUUCUGAGACAUGAAUCCAGGCCCUACGGGGCGCAGCAGGCGCGAAAACUUUACAAUGCGGGAAACCGUGAUAAGGGGACACCGAGUGCCAGCAUCAUAUGCUGGCUGUCCGGGUGUGUAAAAUACACCUGUUAGCAAGGGCCGGGCAAGACCGGUGCCAGCCGCCGCGGUAACACCGGCGGCCCGAGUGGUGAUCGUGAUUAUUGGGUCUAAAGGGUCCGUAGCCGGUUUGGUCAGUCCUCCGGGAAAUCUGACGGCUUAACCGUUAGGCUUUCGGGGGAUACUGCCAGACUUGGAACCGGGAGAGGUAAGAGGUACUACAGGGGUAGGAGUGAAAUCUUGUAAUCCCUGUGGGACCACCUGUGGCGAAGGCGUCUUACCAGAACGGGUUCGACGGUGAGGGACGAAAGCUGGGGGCACGAACCGGAUUAGAUACCCGGGUAGUCCCAGCCGUAAACGAUGCUCGCUAGGUGUCAGGCAUGGCGCGACCGUGUCUGGUGCCGCAGGGAAGCCGUGAAGCGAGCCACCUGGGAAGUACGGCCGCAAGGCUGAAACUUAA